Molecule: long non-coding RNA, 619 nt
Filed under: Piliocolobus tephrosceles (Ugandan red Colobus)
Lineage: Eukaryota; Metazoa; Chordata; Mammalia; Primates; Cercopithecidae
Description: lncRNA (ENSPTEG00000007119.1)
Source: RNAcentral
CGUGUAUUUUUUCUUCUUUUUUAUUAUAAUACUUUAUAGAAAAACCAUACCAAAGUGAAAAUACAUCUAGUAGAAGUUACUAUUCCAAAAAUACACAGAACAGCCAAAGUUAUGACCAAUCUGAUGAUUUUAACGAUUUUCAUCGAGCUUUUUACGAAGAAGUUCGUAGAAUGAGAGAAAAUGAGAAGAAAGAACAAUAUAGAGUAAAUUUUUAUUUUAUUUAUUUUUAUUAUUAUAAUACUCAUAACUAAAAUUAUUCUAUUUUAAUUUGUUUUGUUCUGUUUACUUAUUUCUUAUGUUUUUUUUUUUUUUUUUUUUAUGCAGAGAUACGCAAAUAAUACGAACAGCUACUCAUUCAAUGAUUUUGUCCAUAAAUAUGCUAGGGAAUACUUUUAUAUAAAUUUAAUUUUUAAAUUAUUCCCCCUAUUUGUAGUUCCUUUUUUAUUUUUUUUUGUUGUAUAUAAGCAUUACAUUUUGAAAGCACACUUGAGGGAAAAACCUGUACUCCUGUAUGAUUCUUAUGGAAGAGCUUAUUUGGUAGAUAUGCAAGGAAGAAAAUUUAGGUAAAAUAUAUUAAAAAAAAAUGCUUUGUAAUAAAUGUGAUGGCACUAUAUAGACA